Molecule: ribosomal RNA, 230 nt
Filed under: uncultured bacterium
Lineage: Bacteria
Description: partial 16S ribosomal RNA
Rfam family: Bacterial small subunit ribosomal RNA
Source: RNAcentral
CGGGGUGAGCGGCAGACGGGUGAGUAACGCGUGGGAAUCUACCCAUCUCUACGGAAUAACGCAUGGAAACGUGUGCUAAUACCGUAUACGCCCUUCGGGGGAAAGAUUUAUCGGGGAUGGAUGAGCCCGCGUUGGAUUAGCUAGUUGGUGGGGUAAAGGCCUACCAAGGCGACGAUCCAUAGCUGGUCUGAGAGGAUGAUCAGCCACAUUGGGACUGAGACACGGCCCAA